AACGCUAGCUACAGGCUUAACACAUGCAAGUCGAGGGGCAGCACGGGAGUAGCAAUACAACUGGUGGCGACCGGCGCACGGGUGAGUAACGCGUAUGCAACCUACCUAUCAGAGGGGAAUAACCCGGCGAAAGUCGGACUAAUACCGCAUAAAACAGGGACACCGCAUGGUGAUAUUUGUUAAAGAAAUUCGCUGAUAGAUGGGCAUGCGUUCCAUUAGGUAGUUGGUGAGGUAACGGCUCACCAAGCCGACGAUGGAUAGGGGAACUGAGAGGUUGGUCCCCCACACUGGUACUGAGACACGGACCAGACUCCUACGGGAGGCAGCAGUGAGGAAUAUUGGUCAAUGGGCGGGAGCCUGAACCAGCCAAGUCGCGUGAAGGAAGAAGGAUCUAUGGUUCGUAAACUUCUUUUGCAGGGGAAUAAAGUGCAGGACGUGUCCUGUUUUGUAUGUACCCUGAGAAUAAGGAUCGGCUAACUCCGUACCAGCAGCCGCGGUAAUACGGAGGAUCCGAGCGUUAUCCGGAUUUAUUGGGUUUAAAGGGUGCGUAGGCGGGAGCGGAAGUCAGCUGUGAAAUUUUAUGGCUCAACCAUAAACUUGCAGUUGAAACUCCGUUUCUUGAGUACACAUGAGGUGGGCGGAAUUUGUGGUGUAGCGGUGAAAUGCUUAGAUAUCACGAAGAACUCCGAUUG
Molecule: ribosomal RNA, 692 nt
Filed under: uncultured bacterium
Lineage: Bacteria
Description: bacterial SSU rRNA
Rfam family: Bacterial small subunit ribosomal RNA
Source: RNAcentral